This 99-nucleotide transfer RNA is filed under the name Sordaria macrospora k-hell. Its description in RNAcentral is "tRNA-Ile". The record is from RNAcentral. RNAcentral also lists the same sequence under 1 other name. Lineage: Eukaryota; Fungi; Ascomycota; Sordariomycetes; Sordariales; Sordariaceae.
GCCCGAUUAGCUCAGCUGGUUAGAGCGUCGUACUAAUAUCUUGUCUUGCGAGAUAUCAAGUCCAUGCGAAGGUCAACAGUUCAAUCCUGUUAUUGGGCA